This 231-nucleotide ribosomal RNA is filed under the name uncultured bacterium. RNAcentral describes it as "partial 16S ribosomal RNA". It matches the Rfam family "Bacterial small subunit ribosomal RNA", at positions 118 to 347 of the family's 1533-position model. The record is from RNAcentral.
UGGGCAACCUGCCCCCGGCUCUGGGAUAACUCCAAGAAAUUGGGGCUAAUACCGGAUAUGACUGCUGACCGCAUGGUCUGGUGGUGGAAAGAUUUUAUCGGCUGGGGAUGGGCCCGCGGCCUAUCAGCUUGUUGGUGGGGUAGUGGCCUACCAAGGCGACGACGGGUAGCCGGCCUGAGAGGAUGAUCAGCCACACUUGGAUUGAGACACGGCCCAGACUCCGUACGGGAG